GAUGAACGCUGGCGCCGUGUCUAAUACAUGCUAGUCGAGCGAACAGACGAGGAGCUUGCUCCUCUGAUGUUAGCGGCGGACGGGUUAGUAACACGUGGAUAACCUACCUAUAAGACUGUGAUAACUUCGGGAAACCGGAGCUAAUACCCGAUAAUAUAUCGAACCGCAUGUUUCAAUAGUGAAAGACGGUUUUCCUGUCACUAACAGAUGGACCCGCGCCGCAUUAGCUAGUUGGUAAGGUAACGGCUUACCAAGGCAACGAUUCGUAGCCCACCUGAGAGGGUGGUCGGCCACACUGGAACUUAGACACGCACCAGACUCCUACGGGAGGCAUCAGUAGGGAAACUGCAGCAAAGGGCGAAAGCGUGAGGGAGCAACACGGCGUGAGUGAUGAAGGUCUUACGAUGGUAAGACUCUGUUAAUAGGGAAGAACUAAUGUGUAAUUAACUAUGCACGUCUUGACGGUACCUAAUCAGAAAGCCACGGCUAACUGCGUG
RNAcentral lists this ribosomal RNA (497 nucleotides) under uncultured bacterium. Its description in RNAcentral is "partial 16S ribosomal RNA". It matches the Rfam family "Bacterial small subunit ribosomal RNA", at positions 28 to 507 of the family's 1533-position model. The record is from RNAcentral.